Long non-coding RNA from Lontra canadensis (Northern American river otter), 271 nucleotides. RefSeq lists it as uncharacterized. The transcript has 4 exons. The record is from RefSeq and is a predicted model, not a curated record. Lineage: Eukaryota; Metazoa; Chordata; Mammalia; Carnivora; Mustelidae.
GGUAUAUAUGGCAGGGAUGAGACCAGCGUUUCCAUCUUCCCGGAAUUGGUCUCAGCCUUUUAGGUUGGCAAGUACAAGAUCUCCUAAGUGGCUGAAUGGGCUGGCAGGCCUAGACACCCAGGUCCUCCAGUGUAAUGUGAGCUAAAGAUUACGACAGUGAGUUGGUUUGUCUUGUUCCUGAUUUGAAUGAGAUCACUUCUAAAAUUUUACCAGUGUGGCAUCAGAUGUCUGCUAACAGAAGUCUCUGGGUUUAACGGAAUGAAGAAGAAUG